UACGGAGGGUGCAAGCGUUAGUCGGAAUUACUGGGCGUAAAGGGUGCGUAGGCGGGAAUACAAGUCGGAUGUGAAAUUCCGGGGCUCAACCCCGGAGCUGCAUCUGAAACUGUAUUUCUUGUCGGAUGACGGAGAAAAUAGAAUUCCACGUGUAGCGGUGAAAUGCGUAGAUAUGUGGAAGAAUACCUGUGGCGAAAGCGGUUUUCUAGUCUGCCCGAGACGCUGAGGCACGAAAGUUAGGGGAGCAAACAGG
Molecule: ribosomal RNA, 253 nt
Filed under: uncultured bacterium
Lineage: Bacteria
Description: partial 16S ribosomal RNA
Rfam family: Bacterial small subunit ribosomal RNA
Source: RNAcentral